RNAcentral lists this ribosomal RNA (617 nucleotides) under uncultured marine bacterium. RNAcentral's name for it is "bacterial SSU rRNA". It matches the Rfam family "Bacterial small subunit ribosomal RNA", at positions 773 to 1392 of the family's 1533-position model. The record is from RNAcentral.
CAGGAUUAGAUACCCUGGUAGUCCACGCUGUAAACGAUGAAUGCUAGGUGUCGGGGGUUUAGAUACCUUCGGUGCUGCAGUUAACGCAAUAAGCAUUCCGCCUGGGGAGUACGAUCGCAAGAUUGAAACUCAAAGGAAUUGACGGGGGCCCGCACAAGCAGCGGAGCAUGUGGUUUAAUUCGACGCAACGCGAAGAACCUUACCAAGGCUUGACAUCCUCUGACGUACCUAGAGAUAGGUUUCCCUACGGGGCAGAGAGACAGGUGGUGCACGGUUGUCGUCAGCUCGUGUCGUGAGAUGUUGGGUUAAGUCCCGCAACGAGCGCAACCCUUGUGUUUAGUUGCCAUCAUUAAGUUGGGGACUCUAGACAGACUGCCGGUGACAAACCGGAGGAAGGUGGGGAUGACGUCAAAUCAGCAUGCCCUUUAUGCCUUGGGCUACACACGUGCUACAAUGGUCUGUACAAAGAGAAGCGAAACCGCGAGGUGGAGCGGAUCUCAUAAAGCAGAUCUCAGUUCGGAUUGUAGGCUGAAACUCGCCUACAUGAAGUUGGAGUUGCUAGUAAUCGUAGGUCAGCAAUACUACGGUGAAUGCGUUCCCGGGCCUUGUACACACCG